AUACGGCACGCGCACUGGAUCAAAAUAAUACACGCCUCGACAUGCGCCAGACGGUCGUGCUGAUGGCGGGGAACCGGGACUGCCGUUGUACGUGGCCUGGAGCUCACUUCCGCUCUCCCCCUCGCUGGACCUCUGACCGCAGGUCUCUGAGUCUGUUUCUUGGAGAUUUGGGAUAGCUGGGAGGCCCCAUGAGAGCGAGACGGUGAAGCUACCAGCAAUGGGGUCUGGUUCUGAUGUAGCCAUUGACCCCAGCUUGCACAGCUGAGCUUGCACAUUCCUCCUCUCCUCCCCAGCCCCUGCCCCCGCUCCCAGCUGUGGCUGCCCCAUGUCCUCUCCAGACCACCCCGCACAGCUGUGGCUGCCCCAUGUCCUCUCCAGACCACCCCG
Molecule: long non-coding RNA, 387 nt
Filed under: Homo sapiens (human)
Lineage: Eukaryota; Metazoa; Chordata; Mammalia; Primates; Hominidae
Description: HSALNT0098841
Source: RNAcentral